This 14442-nucleotide long non-coding RNA is filed under the name Brachypodium distachyon (stiff brome). RNAcentral describes it as "long non-coding RNA (BDIS_LNC004974)". The stretch from base 11825 to 11959 matches the Rfam family "MIR1120/MIR1122 microRNA precursor family". Lineage: Eukaryota; Viridiplantae; Streptophyta; Magnoliopsida; Poales; Poaceae. The record is from RNAcentral.
CCCCUAUGAGCACCUCCGAAAGACUGGUCUGGCGUAUCAUUUUGAAGGGUCAACAAUGGUCUCUAGCUCAACUAGCUUAUGAAUUAUAUCUCCUAUAGCAGGUUCUUUUUUUUUUAGAAUUCAUAUAGCAGGUCUUUUUAUGCUGGUCAUCGUUACACAUGGUUGGGCUAUUUCAAAUUUUCAAUGCAUCUUCUCUGUUGGGCUUCGCCCGCCCACCAACAUUUUCUCCCUGCCCCCCCCCCCACCCCCCCCCCUCCUUGCCCCCACAAUGAGAUACUAUGGGCCGCAGAGUAAAAAAUGGGCCUCCAUGGACGCUACAGGCAGGCCCACUGUCAUCACGCCACUAAUCACAGACCUCCAUCGGAUACGGUUAGGCUUUCUUAACCGCCUCAACUUCUUCUUCUACCUCCACGGAUCCAAACCUUCCACGCAACCCAAUCCGAGCCGCAAGCGAGACCAAUCCCCCCCCGCCGCCCUACUUCUUAUAAUCCGGCAACCGAUUCCCGCAGAAUCGCAACAAGCAGCAGCUCUCCCAGAGCGAAACGCCUCUCGCCGACGACCUCCGAAACGCGCCACCAACCACCAAAGUCCCCUCCUUUUUUCCCGGCCGGCGGCUUCGAUUCCGCGACGGUGGGUUCUGGUUCUCAUCAUUGCCUCCCGAUCUGGCUUCUCCAUGUAUGAUCGGGCCGUAUGCAUGUGCAGGCCCGGCUGCUGUCCCCCCUUUCGGCUAAUAAUCGAUUGGAUUGCUAAAUCUCUUAUGGUAACUGUUGACUAACUUUCUCCAUGGCAGGUCAACGAGGGGGGGUCGCGCCAGCCAUGGGUUUGGGAUUGAGAGUGCCGGUCUCCUUCCUCCUCCUGCUGCUGCUCGUCAGCGUGGGAGCUGCGCAAGGCAGGAGCACCACUGGUAUGUCCAAUAUCUUUUUUUUUUGCAGGUGGUAUGUCCAAUAUCAACAGGGCUUGUUUAAUUCCUGGCGCUGCUAACCAUGCUUGUUUGCUCUGUCUCUCCUAAUCUGCACCAACCAAUGGCUGCCUUGUGCGAAUUGAGAAACAACAUGAAAUUAGUACUAGUGAAUUACCAUCUUUUGUUGCAAAAAACCGUCAGUCAUUCGUACGCUGCUGACGGUGUGCUAUUCGGGUUGGGAUUGAGAUUGCGGUCCAGGAUAUCUUGCUAUGAAAUAUUAUGCUAUGCUAGUUGGUUAGUGGCUAGUUGGGCAUCGGAUCGGGAUUGAGAUUGAGAGUACGGCCGAGGAUAUCCUGCUAUGAAAUAUUAUGAUCUGCUAGUUGGGUAUUGAAAGUUUAUUGUGCCAUUACCGUGUCCAUCUGCUUGCACCAGCCUCUUUAGACCAUGCCACACCGCAUGAUGUGUUUUGCUUUGUAAGUUCAUGCAUGCUUGUAUUAGGAUACAGUAGUAACUAUGGAUAGCCAAUCUUGUUUUUAACAUUGCUAACUUCCUCGUAACCAAUAUGAUAAAUAAUAUGGCCAUUGCUAGAAGAUUUACUCUUAUGAAAAUGCUCCUCCUCGUGUACACAAUUGUUCUUUGGCCAGCAACAUCAAUGAUGAUAUCCGAUGUAUUUAUUUUCAGUUUUUCUCAAUAUUGAGAAUGAGGCUGGAGAGCAUGGUCAAACCUACAAGGAGCAAAUAAUUUCGAGCAAAAUUCCUGUCCAUGUUGAGAGGGGAAACCCAUUGUGCUCGGCCUGUAAGAACCUUACAAAUGAAGCCGUUAGCUAUCUUAGUCAGAAACAAUCACAAGAUAAGAUGCUGGAGGUCCUUCACGAAGCUUGUUCUCAGACAUUCUCUUUGGAGCAGAAGGUAAUCGUUUUGAACACUUUGGUUUGUUUCUAUAAUUAGGCGCACAUAAAGUACCGCGUAUUGUAGAAAAAUUACCAUCUGGAUAGAAAGAUGUUAUUACAUGCUUCUUGUUAAAUGCCUUCCUGGAGAGAUACUUUUGAAACAGCAACUGUACAUAAUAACAGAUUGUCUUAGCAUGGACUCUCUCUGUCUCUGCAGUGUGUUGAGUUGGUGGACUCCUAUGCGACUCUUCUCUUUGCCAAGAUUGCUGAGAUCAAACCAGACGAAUUCUGCAAACAGCAUGGCCUCUGCAGGGAUACUGCUCUUCUGUCAAUCUCUGGUGUGAAAAGCGAGAGCACGUGCGUGUUCUGCCACCAUCUCGUGGAUGAAGUUAUGUCCAAACUGAAAGAUCCUGAUGCUGAGGUAAUUGCUUUGUUUCACUUACACCAUCGAUGCCCUGGACUUUACCCGUUCUGCCCCUAAUAUUAUCCAUUUGAUUGAUAUCUCUGUAGUUUGAGAUUAUCCAAAUUCUCCUCAAGGAAUGCAACAAGAUUGAAGGUCAUGUGCAGCAGGUAAGCUAUCUGCCACUUCUUUUCUAUGCCCCUUUGAUGUUUCUUAGGCCGUAGCUUAUAUGCCAGAUUCACUCUGGUGAAUCGGUAUCACCGUUUGAAGAUUCCUUGACAAUGUUCUCAGAUCUCCCAGCAUUUUCAGUUAAUCAUGUUCCAUGUAACACCAUGCAAGUCUUUUACAUCGUUUGGUAUCUUGUCUAACAGUGCAAGAGACUGGUCCUGCAAUACAUCCCUCUCAUCCUGGUCAACGGCGAGAAGUUCCUCGAGAAGAACGACAUAUGCACGAUCGUCCAGGCUUGCAACACCACCCAAAAGAGCACGGCCCGAUCGUCCUUCGAGGGGGCGUUGCUGAGCGACGCAUGAAUGAAGGGCAGGAAAACGGCCCACACGAAGAAAAAUCGGCAAAAAACAAGGAUGCACAAGUUCUUGCUGUAUUGUACAUAGGGGCUGUUUGUUAAAUUUAAGUGCCUAUUGUUGUUGCCUAGCCGCUCCUGCAUUCAUUCUGUGGAUGACUUGUAUUUAUAAAAGGAGUGGCAAGCUAUGAAUAACUCUGUCAAGUCAAGUUGGUGUGUAUAGUUUAUUUGCACAGCUUUGUACUGCUGUUUCAAUUCCAGUAAUUCUAGUAACAUGAAAGCCAUGUAUUUGCUGGUCAUUACUGUGUUGAGGAGUGGUUAAUCUGCUGCAUCAAGCCUACAACAGCACUCUUUUCCUAAUUCCUACAUAUGCAACAUGAAAUAUGGUAUUCAACCACUGCGUUAACCAAGAUGACAUUUUUAUAUUAAACGCAGUCAAAAUAUUAAUAUUCUCUCUAAAAAAUUAAAAUUCUAAUACAGUAAUAGGAGUAAUAAACAAAUGUUAUAAUAUCUCGAGCUUUGAGCAACGAACAGUUACAAGGGCGAGUGAAGAAGAGCGGGGGAGAUGGGUGGCAGCAGCGUGAGGCAGAGGCGAGUCAACUCCAAUUGGCCGGAGGAGGAGGAGGCGAGGGCGAUGUGGACGGCGGCGGCGCAGACGACGGCGACCCACCGGCUCCGCGCGCGCGCCGAGGCGGCGGUGGCGGCGCUGGUGGCCGUCCGCCCGCACGAGAUCCCCGCGCUGACGAGCGCCGCCUCCACCUUCUUCUUCGUGAGCAGCACAAAAUUACAUCUCCCCUCGAAUCUGCUUUCCCAAAUUUCAGCCAUGGAAAUUGGUUUUUGAUUCUGCAGAUCCUGAGCGCCUACUUCGUGGUGCUGCCGCUGCGGGACGAGGGGGCAAUCUCGCUGGGCCUCGGCGCGCUCCCGGGACUCUUCGCCGGCUCGCUGCUGCUCACCGUGCUCGCCGCCCCAGUCGCCUCCCUGGCCUUCUCCCUCCCCUCCCUCCCCAAGACCAAGGUCCCUCCCGCGCCUGCCUGCCUUCCUCUCGUUUGCGCUUGCUCUAUUUUUAGUCUGAAGAGAGCUCCCGUUCGUUCGCUCUUGACCAAUGUAGGAAAUAACAGAGUUAGGUUCCCACGGUUGUAUGUUCAACUUGAUUUAGUUCUAGAAAGGUCGGACUAGAGAUAGUAGAGUGUGUGUUGCUUCGAGUGCAGAAGCUUGUUCAAUUUUCAAUUGUUUUCGCUCACGGAGUUCAAAUUGUCUGCCAAUUAUUUAUCCCUUCGCUGACACAAGCUAAUUUUAUCAUCCAUAUCUGGAAUUUCAGGCUUUGGUUUUGAUACACAGGUUCUUCAGUAUCUCCCUUCUUGUAUUUUUUGUGCUUUGGUUUGCCUCUAAACCUGGCUCCCAAUCUAUCUCCCAGGUAAUACACACGUGUAGUAUUGGGGAUUAUUUUGAUUUUGAAUGCAUGAUUACAUUUCUCUGUAGUUUUAGAAUAUGUCAUCCUGACCCUGCGUCAUCACAUUUCCCUGUGUUUCUUAGUGCAUCUUUUGCCCUGCAUUCCAGCCACUUCGCAUAUUCUCUAAAUUUGAUAAUCGGAAAGGACAAAUUGAAGCUGAUUUUUAUUUAUUUUGUUGAUGUUAUGAUCAAGUCAAGUGAAGAUAGUUCAAAUAAACCUGCCGGGUGGGGAAACCACAGCUGGUUCUACAUAGCAGUGAGAAUAAGCUUCUUUCUUUGGGUAAGCCUUUUCCUAUUACAUUAUCCUCUUCAUGUUUUUGAGAUUCAAGUUGUCAUUCAUUUCAAUCACUCUCUCUCCGUCUGAAGGUUGCUUUACUUAAUCUCCUUACGAUAUCAUCCACUUGGGCAAGGGUUAUUGAUGUCAUGGACAGUGAGGUAUCAUUUGUUAACUGCAACAGAAAAUAUCAGUAACCUGUAAGACGCUUUGCCUUUUCUUUCAAAUCCUUAUUUCUCUUUUGAUUCAGUCAGGUUCAAGAUUAUUUGGUUUUAUUGGGGCUGGUGCUACGCUAGGGCAACUCUUUGGUUCGUUGUUUGCCGCAAGCAUGGCGUGGAUGGGACCCUGUACGUAUGUUUUUCUAGGAUGAUCCUCUGGAUAACAUAAUGACUUCAUGUCUGACAUAUCAUGGAUGCAAUUUCAUAUCCCGAAUUUUCCUCAGUUCUGCUCCUUUUUUCCUCCCUCUUGAUGGAACUUGCUGCAUUGUCAUCAAAAGGAAUAUGCAUUGAUGUUAGUAAUGUUUCAACAGAGCUGCCAUCAACAGGGUAUGUAAUCUUUCUGGACGUGAGUUACAAGUUAUCGAUUCAUUUUUUGGUGCUUCCGUCUGCUGAAAGUUGUAAUCUAAGACAUCUCAGUCUAUUGCUUAUUGCAGAGCAGAACAAAGUCCAAAUACUGAGCCUGGUGAUGAAAUGUCUUCACUGGUCACUUCACCUAGAACACCUUCCCAAUCUCAAAAGUCCAAACCUGGGUUUUUUGUGAUGUUUGAAGGUUUCUGGCUGAUCAUGCGUUCCCCCUACCUGAUAUACAUAUCUCUAUUUCUAUGGCUGAGUGCAGUUAUCUCAUCCUUCUUUUACUUCCAGGUAUAAAUUUUCUCUAUCUGUGUAUUACAUGCACAAUAAGUUUGCAAUGUUGUGAGCAUGUUGCUGCCUUAAAUAAAUGGUCAGAAUACAAAAGGAUCCUCCCUUUACUUCCCUAAUUACCAUUUCUCUCUAUCUCCAGAAAGUAACGAUAGUUGCCACUACAAUAUCAAGCCCAACUGCCAGAAGGAGAACAUUUGCACUGAUAAACAGCUUUAUAGCAGUCUUUAUUCUUGCCGGGCAGCUCACUUUGACGGUACCUUGUCCAUCUUCAGCUGUCCUCAUUUUGCUCAACUUCAUUACCCCCUAUCCCGUGUGAACAAGUAAACAAAUAUUAGAUAAACAACAUGUCACCUGCUAGAACUAGUAUACCUGCCGCACAUCAUGGAGAAAGAAAGUAGCACUUUUUAUGGCAUUAUGCAUUGCGUGAGUGUGUAUGGUAUAAUCGAACUUAAGUCGCCCGCUGUUCAUAUCUAUGGUCUUCGUUUCCUGAACGAUUAUCAUAAUAGGAAACUGCACCAGAAUUUACACUAAAGAGUAAAGAUGAGUUUUGCAUUGCUCGUUCACAACGUUGUAAACUGCAGUACAUAAUUAUUGAAUUAAAAUUUGUAAAUGUUACCUCCAGUUUUUGCUAAUUCUUUGUGUACACAGCAUUGAUCUGCUUGUUAUUUGAUAUAUUCUUUAUCAAACAUCCAUUAUUACUUUCAAAAUAAUAACCUUCUGUGGAAUUUCUAUGCUUUUCCCCUGCCAAAGAAAUUCUCAUGUGCACUGAGAAAAUUUCCAGUGAGAUACCUACGAGUUCUUCUGCAUUUCUAUUAUUCGUGUCAAGGAGCAAAGUUCAAUUCAGUGUUGUCCAAGUGUCCAACUGAUGCAUGCUGUGUCUCUACCUGUCUAGUCUAACUAUUAAACAGUGAUACUUGAUGUUGAAUAAAACAACAUAAAUCAACAAAUCAAUGUAUCUCUUCCAAGACUCUGCGGUGAAUAUUGUAGUUUAUCUUUUUCUUAUCCAUCCUUUUGGUAAUUAUAACAUUCUUAGAUUGUGGUCAAUUCCCGGUAUAUGAUUUAAAGUUUAAACAAGUACUUAUUUCAGGGACAUAUCCUUACAGUAGCUGGUGUAACAGUUGCUAUUUGUGCAUCUCCAUUCAUUGCUGCCUCAAAUCUGGUUGCCCUUGCCGUAUGGCCAACUUGGGUUGCUGUGGCUGUCACUGAAACAAUUCGAAAGGUAUCAAUAGAUCAGAACACUCUAAUUGAACUCGUAGUGCAUUUGCUGUUUUUUCCCAACCAUUAAAUGUUGAUAUAAAAAGGUACUGCAUUAAAAGAUAAUGCAUAUACAAAAGCUGAGUAGCCAUUACCAGCAGAUUAUAUCUUGAGUUUGAUUUAGUACCCUGGAUUGAUUUCUUAUGAAAGAGCUUCUGCAUUGUCAUCCUAUUGUUAAUAAGCUCAGAAUAUAUAUUCAUUUCGUUGCAUUUUAAGUAUGAGUACAGCUUCAUUCAGCUGCCUCUUAAAUCACUGCAAGAUUGCAGUUUCUUUUCUGCUAUGCUCAAAACUGUCUGAUUAGUGCCUUUUUCCAUCAUUAUGCUAGUAACAAGGCAUUAGUUCUGAACUGUAGUAUAUCGAACAUGAUUAUUUCGUCAGUUGUUUGCAACAUGAUUGUUUGGUAAAGGGAUUAUACCCACAAUUUUCUUCAUCUACCAACACUGAUUUGGGGCAUACUGAAUGCUGUUUGAUACUAGGAGAAGUCGAUGUUAUCAUUUCUUUCUGUGUCCAUGUACACUCUGGAAUACACUUAUUUUUUUAAUGCAGUUAUAUAUCGUUAUUCUGUUUUGUUGUUUCACAAUCUUUAAUUCAUUGCAGGUAACUACUUAUGUUUUGACAAGACCGGGAAGGGAGUUAUUAUUCACUGUUGUUUCACAGGAUGAGAAGUACAAGGCCAAGGUAAACGAUGAGUUCCUUGCCUACUUUGGGCAUGAUAACUGUUAGAAAACAUAAUGAGGCAUAACUUUGUACCCCAUAGACAACUAAUAGCAUAUAAAUGGGAUGUAAUCGUUUUGCUUUCAUUUUGACUAGUUUCCACUUGAGUUUAUUUGGAGGUCAGCUGAAGGAAGCAAAAUGAUCUUUGGAAAUAUGAUUCUUGGUGUCAAGUGAACAAUUUUAGCAUUCAACAUUUGUUCCAUUUUAACUAAUUGCAGCACAUCAGUGCUAAUAUUUCUCUCCUAAACUGAAAAGCUGGAGUACAUAGCAAUGAUCUAUUUUUUUUUUCUAAUUUUAGACACAGCAGAUGUUUACUUAGAAAGAGUGUUUUUGCAGCUGACCACUUACCUUAUCGAGGGUGUCGGAUUUUUUAAAGGCAUCUUGCAUGAUACUGGCAAAUCAUUUGAAAACUGAAAAGGAUCUUGUUUUACCACCCAUUUUGCAUGUUGAUUUUGCUGAUUUAAUUUGGCUAAAUAAAUAUUUUUCUUGUAGGUCUGUAUAGAUGUUAUCGUUCAAAGGCUUGGUGAUGCAACAGCUGCUGGAAUUUACAGGUUCCUGUUCAGUAGUCUUGAGAAGCAAACAUCCAUGGCCAACCUCUAUGCUUUGCCGGUAUGAAUCUUUUUUUUCUUCUUUUGCAUUUGUUAGGUCCUGGGAGCUAUCACUAACGAGUAGCCUGUGUUCCUUCUGUUACUAGCUCUGCUUCCUGUGGCUUCUCACCGCAUUUCAUUUGGGACGGCUUCAGACAAAUCUUGCCAAGCUUCAGGCAGCUUCUGACCCAUCGUAGCUCCUCCUAAACAGGUAUCUGGCAAAAUAAAAACGGCACUCCCCGUACAUUUCAUCUCCUUACAGACUAAGCUGGUUGUGCCUGACCUUCUCUUCUCUAGGAUUCUGACUUGAUACAGGUAAUUGCUUCCAGAAUGCGGAAACACGGAAGGGCAGAAAGUCGGGUUGCUGCCCACAUUGUUUUGGUCUACACGUUUCGAAGGAACUGCAAAUUGACAGAGCCUUCGGAUAUAACAGCUGAGAUAACUACAGCAAGAGUCAACAUAGAGGAAGAGAGAAAUAGUAUAUCAUAUAGAAAAAAGGGGUAAUGUAACAGCUUGAUGUAGAUUAAAACAAUGCGCGAUGCCAAAUCUUUGCGCCCACUUUUAGUUAAUUCAUUCAUUCAGUUGAUCCGAUAGAAUUAUGUCACGCAAACUGUAAGAUGUGCCAAUGCAGUGUUCAUGUGGAAGUAGGUCUGGAUUUGUUGGGCACUAUGCUAAAUGAAAAAAAAAACUCAAUACAAUGUAGCCCUGCAAUAUACUGUCACGCACAACUGAAUUACUGGUGCUAGAAGUGCAUUUUUUUUUCUUCUCUCUCUCUCUCUAUACCGUGUCGAUGCUCGGAACGCGGGAUAUUGUCGUAAAUCUCGUGCGAAAUGAACUGUUGUGUGAGAAAUUGAAAUUCUCAGUGGUUGAAAUACGCCCAGUUUGAAAUGCCAUAUUUGUUGCUUAUUUCAGGUUCUUGAUGCCCUCUUUCUGGAACAUGUACACACCUAAAGAAGACUGGCUUGCGUUUCCUUACAAGAAGCACCAAAGAUCAAACCUUCGGAAGAAAAAGAAGUAGAUUUAGUAGUAUCAAAUUUGCACCAUCUUUCUGCCAGCCCAUUUCAAAAUCGCGCGCAAACCGCAAAGCAAAAUCGAGGCGGAUAUAAAACGCGCGGGAGGAAGGCGAAGAAUUCGACAUCCAAUUUCCAUCCAUCAAUUCAUCAAUCCUUGGUAAUUUGGCAGGAGGAAGAAGAAGACGGCAAUGGCGACAAAGCUCUGCCUCGCGCUACUCCUCGUCGUCAUGGCUGUCGCGGCGACGCCGGCUGCGGCGACGCGGCGGCGGCCCGAGUCCCGCGUGCUCUGGUACCCAGGCAUCCGCCCCCGCGGCGGCAGCAGCCCCAGCGUCUUCCCCGGCUGGCCCCGCCGCCCCUCCUCGCCGCCAGCUUCCUCCCGCUUCUCCCCACCAUCACCCCGCCCAUCACCACCGGCGUCGCCAUCUCCAGUCGUCCCCACGCCCCCCUCCUCCACCCCACCCCCCUGCGUCGCCGCCGCGCGCCCACUCCCAGGCUUCCCCGGCGUCUCUUCCUCCCCAUCAACUUCAUCUUCCUCGGCUCCGGCGGACUGCGUGACGCCACUGGCAGGCCUGAUGACGUGCGGGCCCUUCCUGACGGGCAGCGCCCAGGACACGCCCGCCCCCGGGAGCGAGUGCUGCUCGGGGCUGGGGAUGUUCCUCAACAGCACCGCCGCCGCCGAGGACCGGUCGCUGCGGUGCCUGUGCCCGGUGAUCCUCGGCGACGUGAACCGGAUGCUCCCCCGGCCCGUCGACCCCGUUCGCAUGAUGUACCUCCCCAUCUCCUGCGGCGUCGUGCUCCCGCCCCAAGUCCUCUUCAUCUGCUUCAGUAAGCCAUCUACGCACACAAAUCCUCUUCUCUUUGAAUUCGGAUUUUCUGAUCUUGGAUGCGUCCCCAAUCUUGAUUUCCUUUCUUUCUUUGGGUGUUUGAAUUUCAGAUUGAUUUUUUGAUUUUUUUUUUGAGUUGGUUUGGUUUAUUGAUUUGGGGUUUCUUCAGUUCAGCUCAGCAGGCAAUUUGAUUUGGGGUUUUUUGAAGCUUUGGUUUCUUUCUUUUGGCGUUUGAAUUUCAGCUUGGAUUUGAGUUUAAUUUGAUUUUGUGAUUUUGGGAUUGAUGAAUGCAGCCGGGCAGCCGACUCCGCCGGUGGUCUCGAGGAUCCCGGACUCGUGGAGGAAGACCUUCUUUUCUUCGUCGUCGUUGUCGUCGUCUUCUUCUUCAGGCAAUCAAUCGACUCUUACUCCUCCUGAAAAAUGAUCCGUACUCUCAUACCUGUUAACUAAUUAAUCUUGCUAUGCUGAUCAUGGCUAAUCACUUAAUUGCAUGCUUUUCUCUGAAUUUAGUACUGAUGUUGUCUCGAUCUCUACUCGUGCAUUGCAGCAGCAGCAGCAGCGUUGUCGCCUUGAUGGAUCACCCACAAUCUCGAUCGGGAUAACACUCUAUGGCGUAUGUUAAGAUCAAUCUAUGGCCUACAAGAAUAUUUAGCUAGCCCCGGGUUCAUGUACUGAAAAUUAGUUAAUUGCUAGUGGUAAUUUAUAUAGAUGUUAUGAACGAUAAUGUAAUGGGGAUUUUGUUUUCGUUGGGAAUAUGAACAAAUACAAGAGAAAUUCGUCGGUCCGAUAUUGUAACCUUUCCUGCCCUCGCCAUUUUGCAUGGUUUAAUUCUGCAAGGGGUAUGUAUAAUGGCAUCGUGCAUGUUAACACGAAUUUUUACAUUGUGCAUUGUGAAUAUGAACAAUGUAUGCCGGGAUAUUGUCGCGACCUCUCCUAUAGUUUCCCGUCAAAAAGGAAAUGUGUGCAAGGAUUGUGGCCGUGCAUAGUCGUCGCUCGUCAGGACAAGAGCGGGAUGAGGCAAACUCAAGUGUGGAAUCCUCUGCCCUUACAGAAGCAUGUUGCACAGCAAAGUAGAUAAUUUCCAACUUAAGUCAGGGUAGAAAAAUGUUGAUAUCACUAUUCCCUUAUGCAUUAGACAAAAGGAACCAAUUUUUUAAUCUGAUUUCCCCUUCUUCUUGAUGAAAGUUGUGAAACGAGACCAUUUUGCAUAAUCAAUACUACGAUUCUUUCAUAAUAAUCUUUCUUAAAUGCCUCGUUCCAAACCGCCAAUCCAUGUGAAUUCAUUUACUUAGUAAUUCUUAUCUUGACAUGCAUAAGUUUCAUGUUAACAUGUAUAGAGAUACUUGGGCCAAAAAAAAACAUGUAGAGAAAUGCAUAACAUUAAUCAUGCUGGCAGAAAAAGAAAGGAACACAUUCAGUUAGAACAACAUCAAUAAUUAAGAACUAUACUUGCUAUUCUUUCCUUGCUCUUUUAGUUAACACGGAAGCUCCUGCGGAGAGUAAUUAAGAACAAAAGCAGUUCCAUAAAAAGAAGUGAUAACCAAUAAUAGAAAGUGUGGAGCAUGGACACUAGAAUUUCUUAGAAUAGAAUAGAAAGCUAGUUUGAUAUGAAUCUCAAACUUGGAAAUUGAUGCCACUAAUCGACUUGGACUUUGCAGUCGAGCAACAUACGUGUUAAAUGCUACACCCUCCAUUUGGGGUGGGAUCAAAUUGCGGCAUAAAGUUUCAUGCGGGCCGUAUAAACUUGCAUGAAAAAGGUGUAUUCCAACACAGGUUUUUUUUCCCUAUUCUUAAGUAAAACCUAGAAACUCCAAAGAGAUGUUUAAAACACAUGACUGGUGGUCUAAUAGUUUUCUUACAUACAUUGGGAAUAGGCUUCCGAGGCAGUUAUAUAACUAGAUCUGGUUCAUAACCUUCCAUGUUCCCACGAUUGAGCAAUAAAAAUAAGCAUAAAAUAAUUCUGGUUUUUUACGCAUACAAUCUUUAGUCCUUUGUACUCAUAUGCUAAUUUUCAUUGAAAAAUGAACUUUUUUAGCCCCAUGCAGAAGAGAUGAAUAGAAUGCCCUCAAUAUGCAGUUUUUAACACAAUAAAUCAGACAAUUUUUUUUACCCAAGACACUUUAAAAAAAAUAAUACAACCAUAUACUCCCUCCGUCCAACAAAGGAUGUCUCAACUUGGACUAAAUUUGAAUGUAUAUAUACACUAAGUCAUGUCUAGAUACAUUCAAAAUUUGACAAUUUGAGACAUUCUUUGUUGGACGGAGGGAGUAGAUUGUUUCGACUUUUUCUGACAUUUAGAGUGUUAUUUUUUACCCAUGCUCGAGGUGAAUUUCGCUUAUAGACAUUCUUAUCAAAUAAUUGACCGAGCAAAGGGUGCAUGGGUGGGUGCUCCUUGCAGGAACCACUGAAUUAGUCGAUUUUCUAUCCAACUUAACAUGGUUGCAUGGAACAUCAACCGUAACGUAUUUGAUCAAACUGUAGUUUUAGUAGUAAUAAAAAUGAAGUUCUCCACAGGGAUUAAUGCAAUGAUUCCUUUCCAAAUCUCAAGCUAAACUCACAGAUCAACAAGCUUUGGACUGAACAGUAACAAAUCUAACUUGCUGAUCUAAUGUUUUUGGGGUUUUCGGGGUUUUCGGUUAAAUGUAGCAAAUCUGACCACAAGGUACUAACUAACUGAAGAAACAGACACAGACAAGAAGAUUUAACUGAAGAAAAUCAACACUAGCAGAGAAGAUCUUUCUGCGACGAAUUUAGAGUUUAGACAACAAGGGUUUUAGAGAAAGAAGAUGAAAUAGAGAAGAUCUAGAGAAGACAAGCAUCAAAACUAAUAGACAAGGAGAGAGUUUCAGAUCAAAGAGUAAAACAUCACAGGCAGAUCAUGACUCUACUACACAACAAACUGACAGAUAUUUAAAGAACUAGAGCACAAACUUAUAAGGAAAAUAGAGCACAGCACAACUUCAGCAAUAUUAAAGAUUUCUCACGACUAGAUUUAGUUACAGACAAGCUUAAUCAUACGAAUUCAGCAGCAGAUUACAGAUCUUCAGCAAGAACAGAUGGGAACUAGAGAGUGUGAAGAAUAGGGGCAGGGAUUACAGAAUUUCUUUCAGCAGCAGAGAAUUGGAGAAAAGGAAGAUGAUGAUCUAGCUUAACAACUCUCAAUUUCUGGUGAAGAAGUAUCCAAAUCACCCAAGAACAGCCUUGGAUAUCGCCAGCUUCCUCUCUUCUUCCUCUCUCUUCUCCAUGUUUCUGGAUCCACCCUCUUUUUCUUCCCUCCUCGAAAGAAAGAGGUUCACCACCUUUUAUGCUCUUCUCCUUGCUCUCUCUCAGAGGCUGUCACCAUCACCUUUUGAAUUAUGCAACCAGCCCCUCCUUUUGCUAGCUUGACACCGAAGAAGAUCCCUGCUUAUGCCACCUAUUUGCUUGAUCACCCCUCUUCCUUUUCCCUUUCUUUGCUUUUUUAGCUUUUCUUCUCCCUGCUUCUUUGCCCUUGCUUCUUGAUGUAGUAGGAAGUAGAUUUUUGGUGCCUUUUCUGCAAAAAGCAAGCAGUGCUGUAAAAAGACACAUUUGGCCCUUUUCGGCUGAAUUCAUUCAAAUUUAAAUUCAAAUGAUUCAAAUUCAAGUAUGAUCAGCACCAAAUAUGUUUGAAAUUGAUUUAAAAUUAUGUACUGAUCACCCCCCCCCCAUACCUGAAUUUUUGCUUGUCCUCAAGUAAAAAGAUUUGGCCCUCGAACACAAGUUAAUUAGUAAUGCAAAGUAGUAAACAAAUAAGAGUAAUUGACAAAUGCAGUUCUCUGUCAGAGUGUUCAUAUAAAUUGUGUAUCAGACGUUUCAAUGAUUUCUAGGCAUCAACAAUGAUCUAGGGUGAAUGAGUAGAAACAAAUGAUAUCUAAAUCAUAGUACUGAACUGAGCUGAGCUACUAAAGUUCAAACAGUAAUGAAAACUCCAGGGAAAUGUGGCACAACCAUUUAUUUGCAGAAACUGUGACUUUUGUCACUUAUUGAAAGCUAAAAACUGUGGCAAAGCCACUUAUUGAAUUUGCAAAAAAAUUUAGACAAGAACUGUGGGACAGCCACUUAUUGCAAGAAACAUGACUUUUGUCACUUAUUCGAGGAAGAAUAAACACAUGUGGACCUUGCCACUUAUUGAAUUUCAGAGAAACCAGAAAGUAAACUGAAGUAACAAUGCUCAAUGACACAUGUUUCAGAAAUCACAAUCCCAGGAUCAUGACUCCUACUUAGUGACACUAAACAACUAGCUCAGGAAAGUACUAAAAAUUUAGAACACAAAGUUUCUGAAUCGUUUCACAAAAGGUCAGAAAUGAUGCACCAGGAAUCAUUAAAAUUUAAGAUAAACAGUUUAAAUGAUCAUUCUGGACAGAGAAUAACUUUUGCAACUCCUAUUAAAUGUUUUCUGACAAAGCAUGACCAUGAACAGUGCUGAGGCAAAAGUUUUAAAGUAUAGAUUCAUGUUAUCUUUUCAAAAUUAUCAAGAUGGGUAAAUUUGAAUCAUGAGCACAUAAUAUUUAUACCAAAAGUAUCAAAAAAAAUGGAGACUGAAACAGCUCACCAAAUUUCUGAACAUUAAUUCCUUGACUUGAUAGAAUUGGUUGCAAAAAUUGUCUACUCUCACUUCUUACUUUACCCUUUCUGUUCUACCUUAAUAUACAUCUUUCCUGAUUCUCCUGCUGCUGAUUCAUGCAUAAACCCUACGAAAAGAAAAGAUAAACAAAAAUAAAACAAACCUCAUAGAGGCA